This is a long non-coding RNA of Oncorhynchus tshawytscha (Chinook salmon), 2579 nucleotides long. Lineage: Eukaryota; Metazoa; Chordata; Actinopteri; Salmoniformes; Salmonidae. The record is from Ensembl.
AAAUGAUCAUUCUCACAAACAAUAUAUCUUUUAUUUGCAAUUAAACCUCGAUAGAAUCAAAGCAUACAUUUGUAAAAACAUUGCUUGAAUCUACUUGGCAUACCUCAACAAGCAUAUUGUAUCUAAGGUGUGUCAAGAACAUUGAGCAUCACGCAAUCCACCCUUUAGCCAGAAUAGAUUCCAACCCUACGCUCGCUUACAACUGCACUGGGGUCGGACAGGCUGGGGUCGGACGACUCGUUCAAUCUUCUCGGUAUAACAGUUGGGAUAAUGGGACAAUUCAGAGUACAAUACAUUUCUCAUCAUUGGAUUGAGGUACGUUUUCUGAGCCAUAUCUGGCGCCACUGUGUCUUAAUCUAAACAGGAUCCUGUCCGACCCCAGUGCAGCUGUAAGCAAGCAUAGGGUCAGAAUCUAUUCUGGCUAUCCACCCUUUAACAUCUGAAAGACGUCUUUUAAGUCUGAGCUCAAUGUCGGUCUACACUUUUACUGGAAAAGGAUGAAAGGGUAUAAAGUACGUUGUAAUAGUGUUAUAAAUGAUUUUUAUGAAAGGUGUUUGAUAAAGUUUUAGUGCUGCCCAAAACAAAAUUGUCACUGACAGCAAUGGGUACAUGUCUUGGUUGGUAUCUUUAAGAAAGUGUGUUAUGAAAUGUGUCAUGUAUGAAAACACACAAAACAUGCCACAAAAGCUGAGCAUUGAAUUGUAUCAACAUGACAUUUUCUUGCCAUUGACUUGCCAUCUUACUUUUAAUUUUCUUGUGACACAUUUGCAAUGUAGAAAACCAAAUGAGGAACACAUAUGGUAAACACAUAACCCAUAUAAACAACUCUAAUUGGUUUGAACCACCUAUUCACCCAUAAAGAAGCAAAAUAGCAUCAGAAAUUCAAAGAAACAGCUCAGUCACUAACCUCAGAGACAAGGGGCUUGGGUGUCGAACUCCAUGUUAACAGUAGAACACAUGACAGAUCUAAGUGACUUUAAAAAACUGAAGGGGAAAAAGUGAUACCACUGCAAUUUAGAAAAAUAAUCCAAGUUAGGAAGUGCCUCCAGAGAGCAGAGGGACACAGUGCUGUACAGAACGUGUGGAACGCUGACCUGCCCUCUACCUGAAAAAGCGAGGCAAUGGCUGCUGUUUGAAAUUUCAAAAAGGAGAAGUGUAGUGAAGCAACUUGCCUUGGCUCUCCCUGUGAGUCAUGUAGCUCGACAUCCAUUGGUGGGUGAGCCUUCACGCAGAGUGGCUGCACCUGGCCAAUCGCAAGUCAGAGUGGGCUCUGUAUGCAAAUCCUUUCAGGUGAGUCACGGCAGGUGUUGGGGAUUGGCUGAGGGAUGGAUGUGGGGGAGGGGAGAGCGAGGACGGACCAACCAGUAAGCCACACCUUGAGCAAAGUUUUUCCUGCGGAGGAGUGCUGGGGUGGAAGAAGGGUGCUGUAAAUGCAUAGUUUAGUUUACCAUUGGUCUGGUAUGCAUUCGUUUGAGGACACUUGGACUUUGACCAAUCACUAUAAAGCAGUCUUGUCUUGGUCUGUAAGGAAAAUGGUUCAAGGCAUACACAAGACAUGGGACACACUUGAAUGUAAAAAUAUGGGUCAGAGAAGAAUACAAGCUCGUUUUCAUCCUUAAGCUUUCAAAGCAGAGUUAGAAAUGAGUUUUGAGGUCAUUAAGGCAGAGCAAAUGAGACAGUAAGAGGUAAAUCCAGGGGAGUAGCUCUUGUGGCAAUAGAGGCCACCAUAAAACCAACUUUUUAUGGGGCUUCACUGGAAGGUACAAGAAUAGUGGGCUAUAAAGACCAAAGCAGUCUCACCUGACCACAAUUAGACAUCAGAGGCAGGCCACUGGUCUUAGCUAACGCCUCAGCACAAGUGGGUCUAUAGACCCCUCCUCCCCCCUUGUACCCACCUGGAUGAUAUAAUGCUAAUGCAUAUGAGUGACCGUACUCGUGUAGACACAAAUACAGACACACACACACACCAGGCCCCAACUCAUCCUGCGCUGUGCUCUGAUGUAUGGGCCUUGAGAUAGCUUGACAAGCAUCUUUAUUUUAUCAGAAACAAUCAGACUGACAAACAGGAAGUUGAGUAGUUCUGUUCUGUGUUUUUUUUUCACUAACCCCUGUCUCCUUGACCUGCCGCCACUCCCGCAGAACUCUCUCCCUCUCUCUCUCUCUCUCUCUGUGUGGGUGAUUGUGUGGGCAGAGACAGGUGCGCUGGAGUCAGAGCAGAUACCCACCAGCUGCAACCUGUUCCAUAAUCAAGACCUCUACAAAUACUCAGCCCUGCCACUUCCAUGCUGCCAGAUCGUAAUCUCUGCUCAUUCUGCCCGCUCUGACUCUGGUCCCUGUCUCCAGUCCCACGUCUCGUCAUCCUGCUACUCUGUCCUGGAUUCCCCACACUACCCUGUCUCAACCCCUCUCGCUCCAACCUCAGCCUCCGCACCUGGUUUCCAGCGACCCGCCCGAGCUUCCCCUGACCUGCACUACAUCUCCCCCCUGUGUUUCAAUAAAUACCUUGGUUACUUCAUCCCAGUCUCCUCGUCUGAGUCAGCUCUUGGGUUCCCCUGUUUCACUCCGCUUAACAAACCCCA